AUGUUGCCCCCGGCGCUGUCGCCGACCAGGAGCAGCCGCGUCAGGUCGGUGCGGCGCGACAGCCAGGGCUCCGUCCCAAACCGCGCGCUCCUGAGCACCCACCGGAGCGCCGUCCACGCGUCAUCGUAGGCCGUCGGGAGGGGGUGCUCCAGCGAGAGGUGGUAGUCCACCGACACGAUGAGCGCCCCGACCUUCUACACGAGCGCGUUGAGGUACCGCUGCUACGUCGGCGAGAAGGCAGACUCCGUGAUGAACCCGCCGCCGUGGUAG
RNAcentral lists this ribosomal RNA (270 nucleotides) under Triticum aestivum (bread wheat). Its description in RNAcentral is "partial small subunit ribosomal RNA". The record is from RNAcentral. Lineage: Eukaryota; Viridiplantae; Streptophyta; Magnoliopsida; Poales; Poaceae.